RNAcentral lists this small nucleolar RNA (224 nucleotides) under Sciurus vulgaris (Eurasian red squirrel). RNAcentral describes it as "Small nucleolar RNA U3 (ENSSVLG00005020845.1)". It matches the Rfam family "Small nucleolar RNA U3". From Rfam's summary of the family: Small nucleolar RNAs (snoRNAs) are involved in the processing and modification of rRNA in the nucleolus. Lineage: Eukaryota; Metazoa; Chordata; Mammalia; Rodentia; Sciuridae. The record is from Rfam by way of RNAcentral.
GAAGCUGUAUUUUCAGGGUUCAUUUCCAUAGGGUUUUUUUUUUUUUUUCUUUUUCUUUUUUUCCCAGAGAAGCUCUUCUGCAUGCAGAGAGUGCUGGAAAACAUCAGGAUGAGGUCCCAGGAAGCUGGCUUUUGUUGUUGUCUUGCUUGAAUUGCCAUUUGCCCAUGAGGGUCAUUCUUCUCUCCCUUUGGGAGAGGAAGAGGGGAGGGUGCAGUCUGAGUGGU